CUCCUCUCCCACUUCCUCUCGCCCGCGCGCGGCUGGGGAAAAGGCACCCGUCCUUCUCGUCUGUUCCUCUUCCUCCGCCGAUCCGUGUUGAUUUGCCCGAUUCGAUUCGGUCACAACCCGUGCUGUAAUCGCUCUCGAGUCGACGGCUAGCUGCCUCCUCUAGAUUCCUUAUCUUUCCGGUGAACUGUCGUCGUCGUCGUCGUUUGAUAGGAUACGUAUAUGAGGUAGUCAGAUUGGUGCCGUUGCCCCAACUGGUUGUUAGAUCUUAUGAACGUUCCUAAGACCAUGAAGACCUACUGCAGGAACAAGGAGUGCAGGAAGCACCCUUCACAAGGUGACUCAGUACAAGAAGGGUAAGAAUAGCCUUUCUGCCUAGGGAAAGCGUCGUUAUGACCGCAAGCAGUCAGGAUAUGGUGGUCAGACCAUGCCCGUCUUCCACAAGGCGAAGACCUCGAAGAAGAUUGUGCUGAAGCUGUAGUGCCAGAGCUGCAAGCACUAUUCCCAGCACCCGAUCAAGGUGCAAGCAUUUUGAGAUUGGUGGAGACAAAAGGGGAAGGGAACAUCUCUGUUCUAGAUUGCUCAUCGCUUAUCUGAAUGCUGGAGUUGUGGUGUCUACUACUGUUCUUAAAACCUGUGGUCAAAUUUCAGUGUUACUAGUAGUUCUUAAAGCGGACCAGGCUUAUGUAUCCAACUUCAAAUGCCUGACAUUUGCUCUGAGUGUUGGUUGAGUUUUGGCUAAAUGAGGUUUUUUAGCUUGAAUCUGUUUUUUGUCUUCGAUUGUUGCAGCCAUCGUGAUUCGUGUGAAGUUGUCUGAAUCUGUGCUGCUGGAUCACCAGGAUGGGUGCUCGAGUCUACAACUUUAGGUCUAAUAUGUGUUUGUUGACUGUUGUUGGCGGCUUGGCUCCUAAUUGCAAAGCGUUCUUUUGUUUUUU
Molecule: long non-coding RNA, 932 nt
Organism: Panicum virgatum (switchgrass)
Lineage: Eukaryota; Viridiplantae; Streptophyta; Magnoliopsida; Poales; Poaceae
Exons: 4
Source: RefSeq, a predicted model, not a curated record